GCUUCACACAGACAAAGGGCACAUUUAUUCAGGAAAGCAAAAAGAAAAAAAGUGUAUGUGUGAUGAUGUCAAUCUUUUCGCACACCAGUUGCCAUGGCAUUCUGCGCUUGCUUGUAUUAUUAUUUCUUUAUUUUUUUUUAGGCAUGAUCGAUCAGUCAGUCAAUCCAUCCAGCUUGCAAAUAGAUGUUUGAAACAUAGUAAAGUGUUAAGUGCUAAAGAAACCGGCCCUUGUAAGAUCAACAUAAGAACAAUGUCAAUAUCAGAACAAUAGCCAAUUACCAAAAGAAGAGUCGAUCAAUCAUAGUUAAUUUGCGCAGGAAGACGCAACACAAAGUGCUUUGCACGGAUUAGCAUCAAUGGCGCCUGCGAAGCUUAUGAAGAAGCAAACAAGUCUGAUCUUACUUGCGUCUGUAUAAGGCGGUGUGAAGUCUUACCAGUUAAAUGUAAUCAUGUCAGACUUAUACGCAAAGACGCAUGCUGGCGUUAAAACAGUGACCAUGUAUGUGUGCGUUCAUUUUUGUGAGUUUCUGACUGUUUUUCUUGCCGAUCUUAGCAUGCGGGUGUUUUGUAUCUUUGGGCUUUGGUUGGAGUGAGUUUGUGCAUCUGCGUGUUUUGUGUUGGUCAGAUUUGUUUCGAGCGUGUGCUCUUAUGUACCUCCGUACCUCCUCCUAUAGUCCGUGCUCCUCCCUGCCUGUGUGUGUGUGUUUUCCUUCUUGCGUGAUUGUGUGUGUGUGUGUGUGUGUGUGUGUGUGUGUGUGCGUGCCUGUGUGUGUGUGUGCGUGUGUGUGUGUCGCGAGAUAACAUUGUUGUCACAGAAAUCUAUCAGCUCCAACAGGAUUGCUUUUCGCCGGCUUUGCUUGCUCCUGUGUUUCAUUCUUGUUUCCUGCACCUCAGCCUUGCCCCCCCUCCCCCAGCCAACCCCGGCCCGCCCCGACCCCCACACACACACCUUCUCCCAUCACUCUUAAGAUUUUCACUCCCAAAGCAACACCACCAGUUGCACUUAAUAGUUUAGACACUUCGGUGUGCGUGCACGUGCAUGUGUGCACGUGGUCAUCUCCUCUAAACGAUUCCCCCACUGAGAGUGAAAUAGAUACGAGGGAGACGGCGGGACGGGAGCGCGGAUGCAUGCGGAGAAGUCGGAGAUAGAUGACAAGUUGGGAGGGAUGGAAAGGCGGGGAGGGGGGACGCUUGGGAGGGCGCAACAUGGCGGAAAAAUGAGCGAUGGAGGCCAGAGAAGUACGAAGAUGUAUGGGAGGGCGGCCGGCUGGAGGAGAAAUGAGUUAAGCAGCGAGCAGGUGUGAUAGAGCUCAGCUUGCACGUUUCAUUUGUCACUGGGAAUAUGCCCGCCAUGUUGGCACGUGUGUCACCUGCUCCGCCCUCAUCGGCGAACGGACAUAUACAAAACAGGUUUGUUAAACUGAGCUGAACUCAAGCUAUGUGUGCCACCCGAGUUGGGUGAAACUGCAGGCCUUUGACCUCACGUGCGUUGGCCCCUUCCUGGUGGUCCAGGGGUCUCUUUGCAGAAUGUUGGAGUGAGCAGGAAGAGAGGCAGACUUGAAAAAGACAUUGAAAGAGACAGGGGAGAGAUUUAACAAAAAGAGAGAGGGGGGAGGGGAUAAACAAAGUGAAAAAUCUCACAGCCAUAAUCUUGACUCAGCCCAGAGAGCCUUUGCCAAGCUGACCGCGAAGCGCAUGCACGCAUGCCACGUUUAAGACAGAGUGAAAAUCAAUGCGAGCGCUGCUGCUCUGCAUGAUAAUGAGAAAGGCGUGCUGCUUGAGCGUGUCUUUGUAACGUUUGUGUGUGUGAGGUCAAAUCCCAACUAAGUCGACACUUUGUUGUCAUAUCCGGUGUGUAUUUGUAAGGAUAAACCCUGCCGGCGGAAUUCCACGAGGGGACGUCAGGCCCGAACAAGUCACUCCAUAACACGCUCCCAUGCGCGCACAAGAAUCUGAGCAGGAAAUUGAUAGCCAGAAAACAGCAAUCGACUGAACAAUUGCGAAGGAAUGAAAAUCACCAAAAUAAAAGCAAGUUGAAUAGCGAGAAAGCAAUACCCAUGAAACGAUAGCAAUCAAAGCAUCGAAAUAAUAGCGAGGAAACUAAAGCAGCAACAUGAGAGCGACAAAAACAUAAUGUGUCGAGGGACGGGCCGCAGGUAUCGGGCCUGUAACAGCAUGGUGGCGAUACUGACGGCAAAAAAA
Syngnathus acus (greater pipefish) is the source of this 2202-nucleotide long non-coding RNA. RefSeq lists it as uncharacterized. The record is from RefSeq and is a predicted model, not a curated record. NCBI's taxonomy places the organism in Eukaryota, Metazoa, Chordata, Actinopteri, Syngnathiformes, Syngnathidae. The transcript is spliced from 2 exons.